AAAAAGCGGAGGAAAAGAAACCAACCGGGAUUGCCUUAGUAACGGCGAGUGAAGCGGCAAAAGCUCAAAUUUGAAAUCUGGUACCUUCGGUGCCCGAGUUGUAAUUUGGAGAGGGCAACUUUGGGGCCGUUCCUUGUCUAUGUUCCUUGGAACAGGACGUCAUAGAGGGUGAGAAUCCCGUGUGGCGAGGAGUGCGGUUCUUUGUAAAGUGCCUUCGAAGAGUCGAGUUGUUUGGGAAUGCAGCUCUAAGUGGGUGGUAAAUUCCAUCUAAAGCUAAAUAUUGGCGAGAGACCGAUAGCGAACAAGUACAGUGAUGGAAAGAUGAAAAGAACUUUGAAAAGAGAGUGAAAAAGUACGUGAAAUUGUUGAAAGGGAAGGGCAUUUGAUCAGACAUGGUGUUUUGUGCCCUCUGCUCCUUGUGGGUAGGGGAAUCUCGCAUUUCACUGGGCCAGCAUCAGUUUUGGUGGCAGGAUAAAUCCAUAGGAAUGUAGCUUGCCUCGGUAAGUAUUAUAGCCUGUGGGAAUACUGCCAGCUGGGACUGAGGACUGCGACGUAAGUCAAGGAUGCUGGCAUAAUGGUUAUAUGCCGCCCGUCUUGAAACAACGGACCA
Molecule: ribosomal RNA, 610 nt
Filed under: Saccharomyces cerevisiae (brewer's yeast)
Lineage: Eukaryota; Fungi; Ascomycota; Saccharomycetes; Saccharomycetales; Saccharomycetaceae
Description: eukaryotic LSU rRNA
Rfam family: Eukaryotic large subunit ribosomal RNA
Source: RNAcentral